RNAcentral lists this long non-coding RNA (1204 nucleotides) under Ananas comosus (pineapple). RNAcentral describes it as "long non-coding RNA (ACOM_LNC027221)". Lineage: Eukaryota; Viridiplantae; Streptophyta; Magnoliopsida; Poales; Bromeliaceae. The record is from RNAcentral.
AAAAUACAUUUUCAAUCUGAAAAUUAUUUUUUAAAAUAUAUUUUCUUAAAAAUCAAUCAAACACUCCUUGUGCGAAACAAUCGUCCUUAUAACAGCAUAUCACAUAUGGUACGCCACUGACCAAUCAUAUUGUGACAAUAUAAUGACUUGUUUUAGAUUAUGAAAAGAUUACGUUGCUUGUGAUAAUAACGUAUCAUAUUUCCACAAUCAAAUUGAAAAUUUGAAAAUCCUAUGUAAGCUUUUGCUCUAGCACUUUUUCACCAAAAUAGCUUAAGAUAACAAUAGAGUAAAAUUGGGAGCAACAUGAUAAAAAUGUUGUUGAUUGAUUGAGGCCUAAUUAUUCAUAUCCUACAAGAAUAAUUGUGAUGAAGAAAUUUUUUUCCAAAUUUAGAAACCUUAUAAUUUGGUUGCAGUGUUGUGUAACUUCUACUUGAAUCAUUGGAAAAAAAAAUAAUUCAUUUAUUAAAAUCAUACUAACAAAUUAUAGAGCUAGACUGGUAUACGUACUAUUGGUAGCACGAAGGCCUCCGUACUACUAAGUUGUUUUCAAUGAUGCCACUUCCAAAUCGACGGUCGGCUCCGUUAGACUUGAUCUACCCUAUUAAAAGCAUUUGGAAACUAAAUUUCGUAAUUUUUCGGCGUCAUUUGACUAGUGAUCAGGUCUCAAAAUUGACAAUUUUAAUGAUAGAUGUAUGCGUUUUUGAAUUUAACGGUAUAGAAAAUUCUUUUCACUAUUUAUAGUAAGAUUAGUACCUCUGAUAUUAAAACAUUAUUUUUUAUAAGAUUUUUAUUUUCAGCCGUUUAUUUUUAGACUACUCGUUUGAUAGGUAAAUGAUGCCGAAAAAUUAUAAAAUUUAGUUUUCAACUACUUUCAAUAGUGUAGAUCAAGUCUAACGGAGGUGAUCGUCAAUUUGGAAGCCACAUUAUUGAAAAUAACUUGAUAGCACGGAGACCUGCAUGCUACCGAUAGUAUACCAGCUUAGCUCUGAAUUAUAUGCAGAUUUUGAAUAUAACUUAGUUCAACUUAGUCUCUCUCACAUGGACAAAUCUCCGUCACGUGGUAGGAUGCUGAAUAACUUCGACUCUUUCACUAAAUUCGACAAUUAAUUAUUAUGUUUCAAAUUUAUCAUAUGAUUAUUAAAAAAAAUAAUUAAAAUUUUAAAACUAAAACAAAGUUAUAUAAAAUUUCAACUCAUUUCAAUCA